CCUACGGGGGACUGCAGUGAAGAAUAUUGGUCAAUGGACGAGAGUCUGAACCAGCCAAGUAGCGUGAAGGAUGACUGCCCUAUGGGUUGUAAACUUCUUUUAUAUGGGAAUAAAAUGUUCCACGUGUGGGAUUUUGUAUGUACCAUAUGAAUAAGGAUCGGCUAACUCCGUGCCAGCAGCCGCGGUAAUACGGAGGAUCCGAGCGUUAUCCGGAUUUAUUGGGUUUAAAGGGAGCGUAGGUGGAUUGUUAAGUCAGUUGUGAAAGUUUGCGGCUCAACCGUAAAAUUGCAGUUGAAACUGGCAGUCUUGAGUACAGUAGAGGUGGGCGGAAUUCGUGGUGUAGCGGUGAAAUGCUUAGAUAUCACGAAGAACUCCGAUUGCGAAGGCAGUUCACUGGACUGCAACUGACACUGAGGCUCGAAAGUGUGGGUAUCAAACAGGAUUAGAUACCCUAGUAGUC
This 460-nucleotide ribosomal RNA is filed under the name uncultured bacterium. Its description in RNAcentral is "partial 16S ribosomal RNA". It matches the Rfam family "Bacterial small subunit ribosomal RNA", at positions 338 to 795 of the family's 1533-position model. The record is from RNAcentral.